UUUACAAUUUUUUCUCACCACUUUCUUCACCACAAAAAAAAUUAAAAAAACUGUCCCGUCAUGAGAGAUCUGAAAAAAUUAAAAAAAUUGGAUGUCCAUUAAUUGUGAAAAUUUUAUUACAGCGACUGUGGUGAACCUCCGCUUUGCAUGAGUUACGUAAUUGCAAUCGCGAUUCGUUAUGCGUUGAACUUUGCUAGAGCGGAUGCAGGAUAUAAGAACGAAUAGUACUAAUUAGAUGCACCUUUCACCAACGAAUACUUCUGAGUAGUUUAACCAGCAAGGAUAACAUGAUGCUGUAAGGGCAAAAGUAAGACUUGCCAAUAAACUAGCAUUUAAAUUCUCUCUCUCUCUCUCUCUCUCUCUCUCUCUAAUUCUUAUAUCUAUUAUUAUUGUUUGUCUGUUUUAUUGCUGUCAAACUAGAAUAAAUUUAGAGUCUAACGUGUAUAAACCAAUUCAUUUAAGUCGUAUUUAGUAGAUAGAAAGGUUGUAGAUUAAUAAUGAAAAUAACUCGAUUAAUUAAUAGGUUUUCAAGAUAAUUAAGAUACAAUUUAUGUUUUUAUGAUAAAUAGUUGUAAUAAGUAUUGUUCAUCAAAUAAUACACUGAUGUUAUAAAAAAUAUUACACUAUCUAUAACCAAAUUUUGGUAUUAAUGAUAUAAAAUAAAUAAAAGUAAUUUAACAU
Molecule: long non-coding RNA, 681 nt
Organism: Solenopsis invicta (red fire ant)
Lineage: Eukaryota; Metazoa; Arthropoda; Insecta; Hymenoptera; Formicidae
Exons: 2
Source: RefSeq, a predicted model, not a curated record